RNAcentral lists this long non-coding RNA (659 nucleotides) under Fukomys damarensis (Damara mole-rat). RNAcentral's name for it is "lncRNA (ENSFDAG00000033267.1)". Lineage: Eukaryota; Metazoa; Chordata; Mammalia; Rodentia; Bathyergidae. The record is from RNAcentral.
UUUAUACUUACACAGAAUAACUAGAUCUACUGCUCCAACGCUUGACUGAUGUCAUUGCUCUUGCUGGGCGGCUGUAUUAGCCUGCAAGCCUGCGUGGUCAGCUGCAGCACACUGGUGUGGUGAAGAGCAGCAGCCAUCCUCGGCCAUGGCUAUGAGGCCUCCUAAAAGGGGCAGGUGUGGACCAGGACAUCACACAAGAAAAGCGGCAUCGUCCUUCCCAGCUCCCAGCCGAAGAGCACACUUCCUCCCCACAGGAUGCAGCCUCUACCCCAUGGGCGUCAUGGACCAUCAUGAACCAGCAGAAGCCUAUGUGUGGGGUCACAGGCCAAGCUGACAACAGCGAGAACCAGAGCAGGGACCCUGACAGACUGCUGCAGUCCCAUGGAGGCCCCCAGCAAGAUGGGACUGCCAGGCCACAGCUAAUGCUGGAGAAGCACCAGCAGAAGAUCAAGGGUCCAAGAAAGCAGCGAUCCAAAAACGGGCAGGCAGCAUGCCGGUGGGGACUCAGCUGAAAUGUGCAGGACCACAGCCGAGUGAUGUGGGUGCUGCGCCUGGGCUCCUGGACUGGGCCAACCCCCCCUUGUAGUGUGGGAGUCCUACGGGGCUUCUUUCGCACCCCACUGUCACCUCCAUAAAACUCGCGUCAGAUAGAACAAACG